This 45-nucleotide non-coding RNA is filed under the name Schistosoma curassoni. The record is from RNAcentral. Lineage: Eukaryota; Metazoa; Platyhelminthes; Trematoda; Strigeidida; Schistosomatidae.
AUCAGGCUGAAGAGUUUCAAAUUGGACGAAACGCGCGUUCUGGAU